GUGAAGAAUAUUGGGCAAUGGGCGAAAGCCUGACCCAGCAACGCCGCGUGAAGGAAGAAGGUUUUCGGGUUGUAAACUUCUGUCCCAUGGGACGAAACAAAUGACGGUACCAUGGGAGGAAGCCCCGGCUAACUACGUGCCAGCAGCCGCGGUAAUACGUAGGGGGCAAGCGUUGUCCGGAAUUAUUGGGCGUAAAGGGUGCGUAGGCGGCCUUUCAAGUUGGAUGUGAAAUCUCCGUGCUUAACAUGGAAAUUGCAUUCAAAACUGGAGGGCUUGAGUGUGGAAGAGGUAAGUGGAAUUCCCAGUGUAGCGGUGAAAUGCGUAGAUAUUGGGAGGAACACCAGUGGCGAAGGCGACUUACUGGGCCACAACUGACGCUGAUGCACGAAAGCGUGGGGAGCAAACAGGAUUAGAAACCCGUGUAGUCC
This 428-nucleotide ribosomal RNA is filed under the name uncultured bacterium. RNAcentral's name for it is "partial 16S ribosomal RNA". It matches the Rfam family "Bacterial small subunit ribosomal RNA", at positions 354 to 796 of the family's 1533-position model. The record is from RNAcentral.